This is a long non-coding RNA of Cervus elaphus (red deer), 226 nucleotides long. RefSeq lists it as uncharacterized. The record is from RefSeq and is a predicted model, not a curated record. The transcript is spliced from 3 exons. Lineage: Eukaryota; Metazoa; Chordata; Mammalia; Artiodactyla; Cervidae.
CUGAGUUUGGGUGCACAGACAGGAAGCUGCACCUGUGAAGGGGUAGCCCCGUGGUUUCCUGGAUACUGAAACUCAAGCCCAAGCACCCUGAGUUACGGACUGGGUGAGAAGCCGGACGUGGACAGGUGGCCUCUCGUUCCUCUUACCCAGACGCUGAUUUCCAGAGCUUAUAGAAUGAAAAUGACCAUAAAAGAACAUUUUCUUGGGACUUCCCUGGUGGCUCAGU